Molecule: non-coding RNA, 224 nt
Organism: Meleagris gallopavo (turkey)
Lineage: Eukaryota; Metazoa; Chordata; Aves; Galliformes; Phasianidae
Source: RefSeq, a predicted model, not a curated record
CCAAAUUUUGGGGUGCUGCCCCCCCCUCACAGCCCCCUCCCGUGGCAGAGACCCACCUCUAUGCCUGUCUGGUGGAUUUCUUCUCCAACUGCCCCAGAUACGUCAGCUGUGACACCGGCUACAAGCACGGGAACCUCUUCAUGUCCUUCCGCAGCAUGUUCCAGGACGUGCGGGAGGCCAUGGACCAAGUGCAUCUCUCGGGCUGCCUGAAGGAGAAGACAUUG